UACGGAGGAUGCAAGCGUUAUCCGGAAUGAUUGGGCGUAAAGCGUCCGCAGGUGGCUGUGUAAGUCUGCUGUUAAAGAGUGAGGCUCAACCUCAUAAAGGCAGUGGAAACUACAUGGCUAGAGUGCGUUCGGGGCAGAGGGAAUUCCUGGUGUAGCGGUGAAAUGCGUAGAGAUCAGGAAGAACACCGGUGGCGAAAGCGCUCUGCUAGGCAGCAACUGACACUGAGGGACGAAAGCUAGGGGAGCGAAUGGG
This 253-nucleotide ribosomal RNA is filed under the name uncultured bacterium. RNAcentral describes it as "partial 16S ribosomal RNA". It matches the Rfam family "Bacterial small subunit ribosomal RNA", at positions 524 to 776 of the family's 1533-position model. The record is from RNAcentral.